This is a long non-coding RNA of Mercurialis annua (annual mercury), 557 nucleotides long. RefSeq lists it as uncharacterized. The record is from RefSeq and is a predicted model, not a curated record. The transcript is spliced from 3 exons. Lineage: Eukaryota; Viridiplantae; Streptophyta; Magnoliopsida; Malpighiales; Euphorbiaceae.
UAUAACCUAAAAACCUAAGAGAUAAAUUCGAAUUCCUCCAAGACCUAACUUCAUUUCAGAAUAUAAACUUCAAUUCUCCAUGUUUUAAGGCUUUAGGAAGAGUGGAAAAUCGAAUUGGUGCUCGUUUUGGCAACGACGGUGCAAGUAGAAAGUAAGGCAGCUUUUGACGAUAUUUUGGACUAGUUUGGUUGUUGUGUGGCCACUUGAUUGAUGGUCAGUGAAGGGAGAAGGGCUGAGCCGUGCUAAUGAUGGAGAAGGGUUAGCCAUCAAGUGUUCCUAGAUAUGUUGGUUAGACUGUAGAUCAGUGUUGUGUUCCUGAUUACAGGUCUAUGGUUUAUAUUAUUGUUACAGGGUAAUAUAUCAAUGUUAUAAUUGAUGAUUGAUACGAACUACAUUUUAUAUUUGAAGUGAAAUUGUUUUGAUAUCGUUUAUAUUUGUAAAUGCUUUCGUGAUGAACAUUACAAGUAUUUUGUGUUGUAUUGAACUGUUUUCUAUUAUUCGUUAUUAUAUGAUAUACUUACUUUAAGUAUAUAAAUGUUUUAUGCUUGUUAUGUCUA